RNAcentral lists this transfer RNA (118 nucleotides) under Xylaria sp. FL0043. Its description in RNAcentral is "tRNA-Leu". It matches the Rfam family "tRNA". From Rfam's summary of the family: Transfer RNA (tRNA) molecules are approximately 80 nucleotides in length. Their secondary structure includes four short double-helical elements and three loops (D, anti-codon, and T loops). Lineage: Eukaryota; Fungi; Ascomycota; Sordariomycetes; Xylariales; Xylariaceae. The record is from RNAcentral.
GGUGAGAUGGCCGAGUGGUUAUGGCGCUGCGUUCAGGUAAACCUGAACUUGAUAUUGUCAAGAUAUCAUGAGUUUCGCAGUGGAGCAAUCCGCGUGGGUUCGAGUCCCACUCUCAUCA